CAGUAGCAGUUGAAGCUGCCAGCAUGAUCUCAACUUCCCUAUACAAGUCAAGGAAAGAUCAGAUCAUGUGGUAGCCUCACCUGUUGAUGGG
This is a non-coding RNA of Vitis vinifera (wine grape), 91 nucleotides long. The record is from RefSeq and is marked provisional. NCBI's taxonomy places the organism in Eukaryota, Viridiplantae, Streptophyta, Magnoliopsida, Vitales, Vitaceae.